This 333-nucleotide unclassified non-coding RNA is filed under the name soil metagenome. RNAcentral's name for it is "partial contains 5.8S ribosomal RNA, internal transcribed spacer 2, and large subunit ribosomal RNA". The stretch from base 1 to 121 matches the Rfam family "5.8S ribosomal RNA", at positions 35 to 154 of the family's 154-position model. The record is from RNAcentral.
GAUGAAGAAACGCAGCGAAAUGCGAUAAGUAGUGUGAAUUGCAGAAUUCAGUGAAUCAUCGAAUCUUUGAACGCACAUUGCGCCCUUUGGUAUUCCUUAGGGCAUGCCUGUUCGAGCGUCAUUUAAACCUUCAAGCUAAGCUUGGUGUUGGGUGACUGUCCGCUUCACGGCGGACUCGCCUCAAAAUUAUUGGCGGCCGGUACAUUGGCUUCGAGCGCAGCAGAAACGCGAACUCGGGCCCGUCGUAUUGGCUCCCAGAAGCUAUCUUCACAAUUUUGACCUCGGAUCAGGUAGGGAUACCCGCUGAACUUAAGCAUAUCAAUAAGCGGAGGA